RNAcentral lists this ribosomal RNA (483 nucleotides) under uncultured bacterium. RNAcentral describes it as "partial 16S ribosomal RNA". It matches the Rfam family "Bacterial small subunit ribosomal RNA", at positions 28 to 523 of the family's 1533-position model. The record is from RNAcentral.
GACGAACGCUGGCGGCGUGCUUAACACAUGCAAGUCGAACGAUGAAGCUGGAGCUUGCUCCGGUGGAUUAGUGGCGAACGGGUGAGUAACACGUGAGCAAUCUGCCCUUCACUCUGGGAUAACUGCGGGAAACUGUAGCUAAUACCGGAUACGAGGCUUGGAGGCAUCUCCAGGUCUGGAAAGAAUUUCGGUGAAGGAUGAGCUCGCGGCCUAUCAGCUUGUUGGUGAGGUAAUGGCUCACCAAGGCGACGACGGGUAGCCGGCCUGAGAGGGUGCCCGGCCCCACUGGGACUGAGACACGGCCCAGACUCCUACGGGAGGCAGCAGUGGGGAAUAUUGCACAAUGGGCGAAAGCCUGAUGCAGCAUCGCCGCGUGAGGGAUGAAGGCCUUCGGGUUGUAAACCUCUUUUAGCAGGGAAGAAGCGAAAGUGACGGUACCUGCAGAAAAAGCACCGGCUAACUACGUGCCAGCAGCCGCCGCAG